AGGAGGUGGUCGGGGACCGGGAAGUCUGGGCUUCCCUACUGAGACUGCUGCCCCCGCGACCCGGACCCGGAUAAGCGGAGGAAAAUGGAAUGGAAUGGAAUGGAAUAUAUAUAACCCCUGUAAACUACUAGAUGUUGAAACAAUGGAGAAGAUAAUAAGGAGGCAUGGUGGUAGAGAGAUCUGGUGUGGGGACUUUAAUGCACAUAAUAGUUUAUGGGGAAGUAAGCGAACAGAUCACAAUGGAAUAGUAGUAGAAGAACUCAUGGAUAUCAGACAGUUAGUCUGCUUAAACAAGGGAAAUGGAACAAGAAUAGAUAUACAGUCAAAUAGAAUGUCAUGCAUUGGUUUUACUCUGGUCUGACAUAGCUUGGCAAGUUCCUGUGAAUGGUAAGUACAUGAAACCACAAGUAUAGGAAGUGAUCAUUUUCCGAUAAGUUGUACAAUAAACACAGAAGUAGAUAUCAAAGAAAGACCCAGACACAAAAAAGUGGUGCUUUUCAAAAGCGGAUUGGGGAAAAUUCAGGGAGGAAUGUAGCAAAGCAGCAAAUUCAAUACCAAUGGAAGGUGGCAUAGAGGAAUGCACAGUUAAGAUGACAAAUAAGAUCAUAGAGGCAGCAAUGAAAAGUAUACCGUGUAAGUCAAUUGGAGGGGAAAGGAAAAUGGUUCCAUGGUGGAAUGAAAAGUGCACAACAGCUGGAAAAGAAAGAAAUAGCACAUUAAGAAGGUUAAGGAAGAACCUCAGCCAAGAAAAUGUAAUAAAUUAUCAGAGGAAAAAAGCUAUAGCCCGAAGAGUAAUUAAAAACAGUAAACAAAACGCAUGGAGGGAUUAUUGCUCUGCCAUAGGAAGGGAAAUUAAGAUAGGAGAUGUAUGGUCAAUGUUGAAGAAGAUGAGUGGGAAAAACGUGUUUGCUAAAAUACCUACAUUAGAAGAUAAUGGAACAAUGUAUGUGACUGAUAAAGAAAAAGCAAAUGUGCUGGGGAAAAAGCUUGCAGGGGUGCACAGUGGAGACCAUCUGGAUGAAAAUCAUAGACGAGGGAAAGAGAGGAUGAUAAAAGAGAAUAGGGAUGUGUUACUAAAACAGGAUAGUGAGGAGAGUGUGAUGGAUGUUGAAAUUAAUAUCAAUGAACUGCUAAUAGUAUUAAAUAAAAGUAAAGAUACUGCAACAGGAGAAGACCAGUUGAGUUAUAUUAUGUUCCAGAACCUACCAGAAAAUAUGUUGGGAAAAAUAUUAUAUUUAUUUAACAAAAUAUGGGAAGAAGGGAAAAUACCAAAGCAAUGGAAAAGUGCAUUAAUUUUACCAUUUAAUAAACCCGGUAAGGAUCCAAAACACCCUGUGAAUUAUCGACCUGUUGCUCUAACAUCACAUCUAUGCAAAUGGAUGGAGAAAGUUCUAGUCAGAAGACUUAACUACUUCCUUGAAAGUCGAGAGUUACUUACAACUUAUCAGUGUGGGUUUAGAAAAGGACGAUCAACAAUGGAUGCUGUAGUUAGAGUAAGUCAGGAAAUAGCGAAAACCUUUAAAAUGAAAGAGUUGAUGAAUAUUGUAUUCUUUGAUAUUGAAAAGGGUUAUGAUUCCAUGUGGCGGGAGGGUUUAUUGAUUAAGAUGAAUAGGAUGGGAAUUAGAGGUAGGUUCUAUAACUGGGUCCUUGAUUUCAUAUCGGACAGAAAAUUCAAACUAAAAAUAGGAUCAGAGAUGUCAGAAGAAUACAGUAUAGCAAAUGGGGAGUGUAAUUAGUCCAGUUUUGUUUAACAUAAUGAUAAAUGAUAUAUUCAUGAAUCUGGAUAGAAGGAUUGGGUCGGCCCUAUAUGCAGAUGAUUGAGUGAUUUGGGCAAGGGGACGAGAUUCUAUAAAUGUGACAAGUAAAAUGAAGGAAGCAAUAAAGAAGAUAGAACAAUGGUCAUAUGACUGGGGAUUUAAGCUAUCACCCAAUAUAACAUGUUACAUGACGAUUACCAGGAAAAAAGGCAUAAAAAAUCAGAACCUGAUGCUAUAUGGACAAAACAUGAUAAAAGUAGAUCAUUUUAAAUAUCUUGGUAUGUGGCUAGAUCAGAAAGGUACAUGGAAGACCCAUGUGGAAAAGGUAGAAGAGAAAUGUAAGAGGAUAAUAAACUUAAUGAGAGCUGUUACAGGUAAGGAGUGGGGAGCAGAUAAACAGUCACUAAUAUACUGUGUAUAUAUAUAGAGCUUUGAUGAGAGCAAAUAUAGAUUAUGGAAGUUUUGUGUAUGGAGCUGCAGCUAAAACACAUUUAAUGAAAAUAGAAAGAAAUAUUCACAAAGCAUUUAGGAUAAGUACAGGUGCAAUCACAUCAACACCAAUGAAAGCAAUGCAGGUUGAGUUAGGAGAAGUAGCGUAUGACCUGAGAAGAGAUCAACUUAUGUUGACAUACUGGAGUAGACUUAAAGGAUGUAGGCAUGGACAUCUGGCCAAGGAUGUGAUGGAGGACUGUUGGGAGUAUAAUACAACUAAAAGUAAUAGCUUUGGGUGGGUAAAUAAAUAAGCUCCUCACACUUGGCCUGUCUCCCUCCCUCUGUAACUGGGUGUUUAACUUUCUAACAGGCAGGCCCCAGUCAGUCAGAGUCCACAACCGCAUAUCCAGCUCAAGAAUUGUGAGCACUGGGACCCCACAGGGGUGUGUGCUGAGUCCACUCCUCUACACGCUCUUCACCUACGAUUGCGUGGCCUCCCAGAACAACACCAGCAUCAUUAAAUUUGCGGAUGACACUACAGUCAUCGGACUGAUCACUGGUGGUGUUGAAACAUCAUACAGAAGAGAGGUGGCGGACCUCAUAGCUUGGUGUCGUGAUAACAAUCUCCUUCUCAAUACAGAUAAGACUAAAGAGAUGAUCAUCGACCCAAGAACAAGGGAAAAGGAGCCGCAUAGACCCCUGUUUAUUGAUGAGACUGAGGUGGAGAGGGUGAAAACCUUCAAGUUCCUUGGCACACACAUCAGCGAGGACCUCACCUGGUCUCACAACACCCAACAAAUUCUGAAGAAGUCCCAAAGGAGACUGUACUUCCUGAGAAGACUGAGGAAAUUUGGCAUGUCCACCACAAUCCUGAGUUGCUUCUACAGAUGCACUAUGGAAAGUGUCCUUACCGCCUCCAUCACUGUUUGGUACGGUAACUGUACAACACGUGAUAGGAAGGCACUCCAGCGGGUGAUCAAGACCUCACAGAACAUUGUUGGGGCAGCCCUCCCCUCACUGCAAGACAUUUAUACAUCUAGAGUCCUACGCAGAACACACAACCUCAUCAAGGACAGCACACAUCCACAACACUCAUUAUUCACACUCCUACCGUCAGGCAGACGCUACAGGAGUUUGAAGUCCAGGACCACAAGGCUGGCAAACAGCUUUUACCCACAGGCCAUCAGGCUUCUCAAUGAAGCACUCAGACACGCCACACGCAACACACACUCAUAGCACUUUAUUUAUUUAUUUAUUUAUUUAUUUGUGUUAUUUACUUGUAUUAAUGUCUCUUCUGUUGUUGUUGCUUAAAUUCUUGGUAUUUAUGUAUAUGUGUUUAUGUUUCUUAUGUUCUUAUUCUUUCUUGUGUUUUUCUUCUUUUCUUGGGAGAAUGAACAGAAUAAGAUUUUCAUUGCAUGGUAUAACUGCUGUUUUACCAUGCACAUGACAAUAAAACUCUCUUGAAUCUUGAAUCUUGAAUUAAAGAUAAAAUAGAUAAAUAUAACAUACAAAAUAUACAUAUUAAUAAUUUUACACCCAUAAGCAAUAUUCCUAUCUGGCUAUUUCCUAAACCUGAAGUAGAUAUACAUAUAACAGAGUUAAAAAAUAAAUGGAAAGAUAAUGAAAAAGGACAUAAGGCAAGUCAAUAUAUUAAAAAUAAAUAUUAUGGUUACUUAGAUAUGUAUACAGAUGGAUCGAAAAAGCGAAGAAGGGAAGGUGGGGAUUGGAAUCUAUGUACCAACAAUGAAUUAUAGCAUCAUUAAAAGAUUACCAGACCAGCUCUCGGUUUAUACAGCAGACAUGAUGGCAAUGAUUAUAGGCUUGCAAUGGAUAGAGGAAAUAAAACCAGAUAGAGUGGUAUGUUGUGUGGACUCUCUGGCAGCAUUAUAUAGUAUUAAAAAUAUGGAAUCAAGUCGAGAGGAUUUAUUAUUAGAAAUACAUCAAAACUUAUUCCAACUACACAUGUUAAAAAUAGACAUAAGAUUUUGCUGGGUGCCUGCACAUGUAGGGGUGGAGGGGAAUGAGGUGGCAGAUAAAAUGGCUAAAAUGGGAAUUAGAAGGAAUGAAAUGAUAGAUAUACCUGCUGGUAAAGGUGAAGUAAAGGCAAUAAUCAAAAAACAAAUGAUGGAGAAAUGGCAAAAUAGGUGGGAUGAGGGUAGUAGCGGGAGAAAGUAUUAUAAAGUACAAAGAUCUAUCAGUGCACAAGGGGUGAAGAGAAGAAACAGAAAAGAGGAAAUAGUGUUAACUGGGAUGAGGUUCAAUCACACCGGGUUAAAUGACAAGAUGUUUUUGAUAGGGAAAUGUAAAUCAAAAGUAUGUAUGGAGUGUAAAAGUAUAGAGAAUGUAGAACACAUAUUACUACACUGCAAGAGAUAUAGGGAAGAACGUGUAACGUUAAGGAAAAGAAUUAAGAUAGGAAGGGAAUGGAGCAUUGAGGGUAUCUUAGGAACAGGUGGGGAGGGGGUAAGAGAUAUACAGAGGGCAGUGAUAGAAUAUUUGAAGGACACAGGAUUAUAUAAUAGAAUAUAGAUAAGUAUUAGAAUAUUUUAGUAUAAGUAUUAUUAUUACGAUUAUUAUUAGUAGUAGUAUAAGUAGUCUCCUCACUCCUCACUAAAGUAAGAUACUGUAUAUGGCCCAUGUUACAUACUCCGGUACAGUAGGUGGCGGUAUGCACCUUUUCAAGUCAUGGUUGCAACCCGCCAUUAAACUAAAAGAAGAAAGAAAAUUAUGCGCAUGCGCACUCUGUUUAUUUUCAAACGCGUUGUGGCAGUCUUUGGAGUUCACUGCGGAAUUUACCGGGGAAUAACCUUUUUUGCAGUUUAUCAUCAAUCAGUAAUCAUUGUAAUGGAUUUGGAAACCGGGACGUAUGAGCCAGGAUUCGUGGGGAUCCGGUUUUGUCAAGAAUGGUGAGUUUGCGACGAGGGCCUUUGCAUGAAUUAAACUAGCGAGCUGGCUAGCAAUGCAACAAAACGUGAAAGCUACACUGCUAGCUUGAAGUGACGCACUGCAAAAGACGUAACAACAUGUUGUAUCCAAAAGAAGACAAGGAGAAUCGUAUCCUGCUGUAUGCGUGCAGGAAUUGUGACUACCAGCAAGAAGCAGACAACAGUUGUAUUUAUGUCAAUAAGAUUACCCAUGAGGUUGAGUAAGUGUUAAUAAUAAGUGAUCGUGUUUGUGUCUUCUGCUCUCUGACCUAUGUGUUGUAUCAACAAACCGUUUUUUCAACUUAAUAACCAUUUGCCAACAUGUA
Molecule: RNA transcript, 5439 nt
Organism: Dunckerocampus dactyliophorus (ringed pipefish)
Lineage: Eukaryota; Metazoa; Chordata; Actinopteri; Syngnathiformes; Syngnathidae
Gene: polr2i
Gene name: RNA polymerase II subunit I
Exons: 3
Source: RefSeq, a predicted model, not a curated record